AACGAACGCUGGCGGCGUGCUUAACACAUGCAAGUCGAACGCGAACGGUUUCUUCGGAAACCUAGUAGAGUGGCGCACGGGUGAGUAACGCGUAGAUAACCUGUCCUUAUGUCUGGGAUACCCCACCGAAAGGUGGACUAAUACCGGAUAUUCUUGUUUUUCAUAAGUUUUACAAGAAAAGGUGGCCUCUGAUUUAAGCUACUGCAUGAGGAGGGGUCUGCGUACCAUUAGCUUGUUGGUGGGGUAAGAGCCUACCAAGGCAUCGAUGGUUAGCGGGUCUGAGAGGAUGAUCCGUCACACUGGCACUGAAACACGGGCCAG
RNAcentral lists this ribosomal RNA (321 nucleotides) under uncultured bacterium. RNAcentral's name for it is "bacterial SSU rRNA". It matches the Rfam family "Bacterial small subunit ribosomal RNA", at positions 29 to 334 of the family's 1533-position model. The record is from RNAcentral.